UGCCCUAGUAACGGCGAGUGAAGCGGCAACAGCUCAAAUUUGAAAUCUGGCCUCCCUUGGGGGUCCGAGUUGUAAUUUGCAGAGGGUGCUUUGGCGUCGGCAGCGGUCUAAGUUCCUUGGAACAGGACAUCACAGAGGGUGAGAAUCCCGUACGUGGUCGCCUGCCUUCGCCGUGUAAAGCCCCUUCGACGAGUCGAGUUGUUUGGGAAUGCAGCUCUAAAUGGGAGGUAAAUUUCUUCUAAAGCUAAAUACCGGCCAGAGACCGAUAGCGCACAAGUAGAGUGAUCGAAAGAUGAAAAGCACUUUGGAAAGAGAGUCAAACAGCACGUGAAAUUGUUGAAAGGGAAGCGCUUGCAGCCAGACUUGCUCGUAGUUGCUCAUCCGGGUCCGCCCGGAGCACUCUUCUGCGAGCAGGCCAGCAUCAGUUUGGGCGACCGGAUAAAGGCCUCUGUCAUGUACCUUCCCUCGGGAAGGCCUUAUAGGGGAGGCGUAAUGCGGCCAGCCCGGACUGAGGUCCGCGCAUCUGCUAGGAUGCUGGCGUAAUGGCUGUAAGCGGCCCGUCUUGAAACACGGACCAAGGAGUCUAACAUCUAUGCGAGUGUUUGGGUGUCAAGCCCGGGCGCGUAAUGAAAGUGAACGGAGGUGGGAACCCUCUCCGGGGGGUGCACCAUCGACCGAUCCUGAUGUCUUCGGAUGGAUUUGAGUAAGAGCAUAGCUGUUGGGACCCGAAAGAUGGUGAACUAUGCUUGAAUAGGGUGAAGCCAGAGGAAACUCUGGUGGAGGCUCGCAGCGGUUCUGACGUGCAAAUCGAUCGUCAAAUUUGGGCAUAGGGGCGAAAGACUAAUCGAACUAUC
RNAcentral lists this ribosomal RNA (854 nucleotides) under Keissleriella phragmiticola. Its description in RNAcentral is "partial large subunit ribosomal RNA". It matches the Rfam family "Eukaryotic large subunit ribosomal RNA", at positions 76 to 944 of the family's 3401-position model. The record is from RNAcentral. Lineage: Eukaryota; Fungi; Ascomycota; Dothideomycetes; Pleosporales; Lentitheciaceae.